RNAcentral lists this ribosomal RNA (227 nucleotides) under Allothereua maculata. RNAcentral describes it as "partial 12S ribosomal RNA". The record is from RNAcentral. Lineage: Eukaryota; Metazoa; Arthropoda; Chilopoda; Scutigeromorpha; Scutigeridae.
AACCUGUCCUGUAAUCGAUAAUCCCCGUAAAUUUGACCYGGAUUUGUAUUGUCAGUUUGUAUAUCGCUGUCGUAAGAUUAUUUUAUAAGAAAUUUUUCGAUAAUAAUUUUUUAUUAAUGUCAAGUCAAGRUGCAGUUAAUGUCUAGGGUUGAGAUGGGUUMCAUUAUAAGAAUAUAUAUGGAUGUAAGUUUGUAAUGUUUAUUGAAGGUGGAUUUAAUUGUAAUAUG